RNAcentral lists this ribosomal RNA (324 nucleotides) under uncultured Rubrobacteria bacterium. RNAcentral's name for it is "bacterial SSU rRNA". It matches the Rfam family "Bacterial small subunit ribosomal RNA", at positions 95 to 411 of the family's 1533-position model. The record is from RNAcentral. Lineage: Bacteria; Bacillati; Actinomycetota; Rubrobacteria.
GCGGCGAACGGGUGAGUAACACGUGGGUAAUCAACCCUCGGCUAUGGGAUAUUCCGGGGAAACCCGGAUUAAUACCGGAUGGGCCUUUGGAUCCUGGGAUCUGAAGGAAAAGGUAGCUUCGGCCUCCGACCGAGGACGAGCCCGCGGCGGAUUAGCUUGUUGGUGGGGUAACGGACUACCAAGGCGGCGAUCCGUAGCUGGUCUGAGAGGACGAUGGGCCACACUGGUGACUGAGACACGGCCCAGACUCCUACGGGAGGCAGCAGUGGGGAAUCUUGCGCUAAUGCGGGAAACCGUGACGCAGCGACGCCGCGUGAGGGAAGA